This 269-nucleotide small RNA is filed under the name Arabidopsis thaliana (thale cress). RNAcentral's name for it is "ATSL261240". The record is from RNAcentral. Lineage: Eukaryota; Viridiplantae; Streptophyta; Magnoliopsida; Brassicales; Brassicaceae.
CUUAAUGCUAGAUCUUGAGUAAUUAACUAGAUCUUGAAUACAGACAAUAGAUAUGCCUACCAUAAGUAUAUGUAGUUGGAUCUAUUAUUUGAUGAGUCUGGUUUAUAGGUGUGUAAUAAGAAUCGGCCUAUCUACUAAGGUGAACAAUUGAACUCGUUUAGAAUGCAUAUUUAGGUUAAAAAUCUCUCGGCUUCUCCGGUUAUUCUUAGCUAUAAGCAUAGGGAGUUUUGCGGAACACCACCGGUUAUUCCAUAAUUAGAGUAUGAGUU